RNAcentral lists this long non-coding RNA (598 nucleotides) under Ananas comosus (pineapple). RNAcentral's name for it is "long non-coding RNA (ACOM_LNC014688)". The record is from RNAcentral. Lineage: Eukaryota; Viridiplantae; Streptophyta; Magnoliopsida; Poales; Bromeliaceae.
ACUUCAAAUACCCCACUGUGGUUUCACAUUUUUCCACUUUAGUACUUUAUGGUUUAAAGUAUAUCAAGUUAGCCCUGUGGUUUUGCACUUUCUCACUUUGGUACCCCGUAGUUUAAAGUGUAUUAAGUUAGUACCAUGUAGUUUCAUUUUUCUUUUUUUAUUAUCCAUUUCACUAAUUUUUUUUGUUAAAUCAGUAACAAAGUUAAAACUAAAGGAUACUAAAAUGAAUAUUUCCUAGGUAGGGUAUCUGAAGCUUUUAUAUAUAAUUUAACGAAAUAUUAACGGAGGAAAAAAAAUCAGUGACAAAAUUAAAACUAAAGGGUAUUAAAGUAAAUAUUCGAUAAACUUAGGUAGGGUGUCUGAAGUUUUUUGUAUAUAAUUUAACAAAAUAUUAACAGAGGAGCCGACGAAGAGAAAAAAAAUAAAAUCACAUAGUACUAAAUUGAUGCACUUUGAACCACACGAUACUAAAAUGAGAAAGUGCGAAAUCACAGGGUACUAAAUUGAUAUGCUUUAAACUAUAGGGUACUAAAGUGAAAAAGUGCGAAACCACAGGGGUGCUAUUUGAAGUUUUUUCAAAAAUUAUUUAGAGGAUUUU